UCUUCUACAGUUCUUGGUUAUUCAGGUGU
RNAcentral lists this non-coding RNA (29 nucleotides) under Rattus norvegicus (Norway rat). Lineage: Eukaryota; Metazoa; Chordata; Mammalia; Rodentia; Muridae. The record is from RNAcentral.